RNAcentral lists this ribosomal RNA (253 nucleotides) under uncultured bacterium. Its description in RNAcentral is "partial 16S ribosomal RNA". It matches the Rfam family "Bacterial small subunit ribosomal RNA", at positions 524 to 776 of the family's 1533-position model. The record is from RNAcentral.
UACGUAGGGUGCGAGCGUUAAUCGGAAUUACUGGGCGUAAAGCGUGCGCAGGCGGUUCGUUGUGUCGGCGGUGAAAGCCCCGGGCUCAACCUGGGAAUGGCCGUUGAAACUGGCGAACUGGAGUGUGGCAGAGGGGGGUGGAAUUCCGCGUGUAGCAGUGAAAUGCGUAGAGAUGCGGAGGAACACCGAUGGCGAAGGCAGCCCCCUGGGUUAACACUGACGCUCAGGCACGAAAGCGUGGGGAGCAAACAGG